GUCAUAUGCUUGUUUCAAAGAUUAAGCCAUGCAUGUCUCAGUGCAAGCCGAAUUAAGGUGAAACCGCGAAAGGCUCAUUAAAUCAGCUAUGAUUCAAUUGAUGGUACGAUCACGGUUACUUGGAUAACUGUGGCAAUUCUAGAGCUAAUACAUGCUAAACGAGUUCCGACCGCGGGUUCGAUCGAUCUCGCGGAACGAAUGCUUUUAUUAGAACAAAACCAAUCGGAUCUCAAUCGAGAUCCGCAAAUCUAUGACGAAUCUGAAUAACUUUGAGCUGAUCGCACGGUCUCUGGAACCGGCGACGCAUCUUUCAAAUGUCUGACUUAUCAACUUUCGAUGGUAGGCUACGCGCCUACCAUGGUGAUAACGGGUGACGGGGAAUCAGGGUUCGAUCCCGGAGAGGGAGCCUGAGAAACGGCUACCACAUCCAAGGAAGGCAGCAGGCGCGCAAAUUACCCACUCCCGGCACGGGGAGGUAGUGACGAAAAAUAACGAUGCAGGACUCUUUUCGAGGCUCUGCAAUCGGAAUGAGAACACUCUAAAUCAUUUAACGAGUAUCCAUUGGAGGGCAAGUCUGGUGCCAGCAGCCGCGGUAAUUCCAGCUCCAAUAGCGUAUAUUAAAGUUGCUGCGGAUAAAAAGCUCGUAGUUUGAUUUGUGUUCCGAGCAGUCGGUACGCCGUUCGUCGGCGGUCAACUGACUCGCGGCGGAACGUCCUGCCGGUUGACGGAGCGGGAGGCGGCGGAGGCGGCGCGAGUCGUCGCCGCCGCCUUGAGUGGUCGGAGGAAAGAGCACCGCGCGAUCUUCGGAUCGCGGCGCGCGCUUCGCGUCCGACGACGUUUCUGCGUCCGUCAGUCAUUGAGAAAAUCCCGUCGCGGCGCUCUUAACCGAGUGACGCGCCGGGCCGGCACGUUUACUUUGAACAAAACUGAGUGCUUAAAGCACGCCGAACCCAAGCGCCUGAAAGUCGGAUGCAUGGAAUAAUGGAAUAGGGCCUCGGUUCUAUUUUGUUGGUUUUCGGAAUUUCCGAGGCAAUGAUUAAUGGGGACAGGCGGGGGCAUUAGUAUUGCGGCGUUAGAGGUGAAAUUCUUGGAUCGUCGCAAGACUAACCUAAGCGAAAGCAUUUGCCAAGGAUGUUUUCCUUAAUCAAGAACGAAAGUUGGAGGUUCGAAGGCGAUCAAAUACCGCCCUAGUUCUUACCGUAAACUAUGCCGGCUAGCGAUCCGUCGAUGUUCGUUCAGAUGAUUCGGCGGGCAGCUUGAGGGAAACCAAAGCCUUCGGGUUCCGGGGGAAGUAUGGUUGCAAAGCUGAAACUUAAAGGAAUUGACGGAAGGGCACCACCAGGAGUGGAGCUUGCGGCUUAAUUUGACUCAACACGGGAAACCUCACCAGGCCCGGGCACCGGAAGGAUUGACAGAUCAAGAGCUCUUUCUUGAUUCGGUGGGUGGUGGUGCAUGGCCGUUCUUGGUUGGUGGAGCGAUUUGUCUGGUUAAU
RNAcentral lists this ribosomal RNA (1492 nucleotides) under Pediculus humanus capitis (human head louse). RNAcentral describes it as "SSU rRNA". It matches the Rfam family "Eukaryotic small subunit ribosomal RNA", at positions 23 to 1323 of the family's 1831-position model. Lineage: Eukaryota; Metazoa; Arthropoda; Insecta; Psocodea; Pediculidae. The record is from RNAcentral.